UACACUCCUACGGGAGGCAGCAGUGGGGAAUUUUGGACAAUGGGCGAAAGCCUGAUCCAGCAAUGCCGCGUGAGUGAAGAAGGCCUUCGGGUUGUAAAGCUCUUUUGUCAGGGAAGAAACGGUGAAAGCUAAUAUCUUUUGCUAAUGACGGUACCUGAAGAAUAAGCACCGGCUAACUACGUGCCAGCAGCCGCGGUAAUACGUAGGGUGCAAGCGUUAAUCGGAAUUACUGGGCGUAAAGCGUGCGCAGGCGGUUUUGUAAGUCUGAUGUGAAAUCCCCGGGCUCAACCUGGGAAUUGCAUUGGAGACUGCAAGGCUAGAAUCUGGCAGAGGGGGGUAGAAUUCCACGUGUAGCAGUGAAAUGCGUAGAUAUGUGGAGGAACACCGAUGGCGAAGGCAGCCCCCUGGGUCAAGAUUGACGCUCAUGCACGAAAGCGUGGGGAGCAAACAGGAUUAGAAACCCGUGUAGUCCCA
RNAcentral lists this ribosomal RNA (474 nucleotides) under uncultured organism. RNAcentral describes it as "partial 16S ribosomal RNA". It matches the Rfam family "Bacterial small subunit ribosomal RNA", at positions 332 to 797 of the family's 1533-position model. The record is from RNAcentral.